Non-coding RNA from Phrynosoma platyrhinos (Desert horned lizard), 71 nucleotides. The record is from the annotation of a GenBank genome assembly. NCBI's taxonomy places the organism in Eukaryota, Metazoa, Chordata, Lepidosauria, Squamata, Phrynosomatidae.
GUCUUGUGGCAUAGUGGUUUGAGUGUUGGACUAUGGCUCUGGUAACCAGGGUUCAAUUCCCUGCUCAGCCA